AAAGGUAAGCUACUAAGAGCGAAUGGUGGAUGCCUUGACUGGUAAAGGCGAUGAAGGACGUACUAGACUGCGAUAAGCUACGGGGAGCUGUCAAGAAGCUUUGAUCCGUAGAUUUCCGAAUGGG
Molecule: ribosomal RNA, 124 nt
Filed under: Campylobacter jejuni
Lineage: Bacteria; Pseudomonadati; Campylobacterota; Epsilonproteobacteria; Campylobacterales; Campylobacteraceae
Description: partial 23S ribosomal RNA
Rfam family: Bacterial large subunit ribosomal RNA
Source: RNAcentral